AUCACAAUCACAUUCUGAAAACUCAGAGUGCAGCAAAAAUGGGUUGAAUUGUAUCAUUUCCCAGUCUCAGUGAAAUCAUUAGAAUGUCAGUUCCUGUUGUAGACUAUGGGAGGACAUGCAAGAAUUAUUAAAAAAAUGCAGCAAGAGUUUUACUAUGUAGUCCCCUUAGUAAAGGUGCCUCUGCUUAUUCUCUGGGAAGAUCUUGUGUGCUGAAAUCUAGCCCAAGAGACUACAAUUCCCAUGAGCCCUGGAGGAAAGCAGGAAGGAAAUGACUCCGUUUGGAUCCUGGGUCUCUCCAUGUGUGUGAGGAGAGGCCCAGCAGUCUGUGGACUCUUUCCUCUGUUUUUGGAGCAGAAAGGGAGCCAGGCUGCUAUGGAGGAGUUUAAUCCAGUCCAGGAGCUGUUAGAGUACAGCUACAGACUUGGACUAAGAGCCUAUGGGACUGGAAUCUAGCAGGCUGCUUCUGAUUGCUCUUUGGCUGUACCUGUGGCUAGAAGCUCCUCUGCAUCCAGCACACAGAAGGAGACUAGAACCAUCCACUCCAGCUGCAAAAUCUUCAAGCGCGCCCAUGCAAGCAAGUGUAUGGUAUUGUGAGGUCUGAGUUACUGAUCUAUGUGGGAAGCUUUACUUUUACCCUACUUACUUUGCUUAAGAGCUUUGGUGAAGGACUAUAUGUCAAAGGUUUUCUGAAAGUCCAGGCACACUAUAUCCACUGGAUCACCCUUGUUCAUGUGUUUGUUGACUCCCUCAAAGAAUUCUAAUAGAUGGGUGAGGCAUGAUUUCCCUUUACAAAAGUGGUGUUGAUUCUUCAGCAUAUUUUGUUAAUUGAGGUGUCCACUAAUUCUGUUCUUUACUACAGUUUCAACCACCUUGCCUGGUACUGAAGUUUGGCUUACCAGCAAUUGCCUGGAUCACCUCUGAAGCCUUUUGAAAAAUUGGUGUCACAUCAGCUAUCCUCCAGUUAUCUGUUAAAGAGGCUGAUUAAAGCAUUCAGUUACAUACCAUGCCUGAGGAGAGGAAGCACAAAGUAUGAUCCUUCUCUGCUGCCAAGGACAGAAGAAAAGGUAUAUGAGCAAAAAGAACUGGCUUCCAGCAGUAUCCCACAAGGCCUGCCCUGAUGAUUCCACUCAGUGUUUUGAUCUCUGAUGCUCUGAAAGCAUGCACCUCUCCCUUUUCAAAGCUCCAGGAACUCUGACAGCUGAAUGAGCUACUCUGUUUGGGGAACAAAUGGAAAGCAAAUCAUUGGUGUGCUCCUGUUCUGCCCUGCACACAGCAGCAGGCCGAGUGCUGCUACAGAGGGAAGGGUACAGGCUACUAUGCUGUUUUGACAUCGCUCAACACAGAGAGCUCACAGAGCUACUCAUGAUGUUGCUCCCAGCAGCUCAAACAGUUGUGGGAGAAUUCAGAGAGAAUCCCAAGGUGUUGAGAGAUCAGCUGUGCUUCCCACAACACUGCACUACAGGAUGCCUACCCACAGUGCAUUGCUCACACUAUCAGUGAUGGUGUGCCCUUUGUGUAGACAUGAUAUGUCAACAGAGAGAACAAGUGUGAAUGCUCACUGGUGAUUUUUGUUUUGUUGACUUUUGGAUGUUGACAGAAGUUUGUCAACUCUACCAAGUUUUGUGGACAAAAGAUACAGGAGGAUAAAGAACUCCUAACAUAAUGCUUGGCUCAUCUCUCAUUUUUCUUUGUGUCCUUUGACCCACUGCUCUUCCAUACUCUGUGAAACACAAAUUAAAAUAAAUAAAGUAUUUUUUUAAAUUAAGGCAGUACAAUCCAUCUAUUGAACGACAUGUACUUCCCAUCAUUAAAGGUUAUGCCUACAUUGCACUUUCACCCAGAAAACUUUUGUCCGUCAGGAGUGUGGGAAUAAACAAAAAUGUUAUGGACAAAAAGUGCCAGUGUGGACAGUGCUUUUUCAGAGGGAGAAAUUACUGCCCUUCAUGGGGAGUAAAGGAAGGCUGUUGGCAGGGGAACUAUAGAAGGAAAAACCCAACCCUAUUUCUAGAAAAUCUUUCUUCACCAUUAAACAGUCAUUGUAAUGGCUAGCCAAAUAAUAAGAGUCUCAAUAAGAUUACAAUAAGAACUUAAUUUGCAAAAAUUACUGUAAAGAAAGCAAGUUAAUCAGUUCAUAUCCAAUCAAGAUUGCAAGUGAUCAC
Pelodiscus sinensis (Chinese soft-shelled turtle) is the source of this 2159-nucleotide non-coding RNA. The record is from RefSeq and is a predicted model, not a curated record. Lineage: Eukaryota; Metazoa; Chordata; Testudines; Trionychidae.